This 442-nucleotide ribosomal RNA is filed under the name uncultured bacterium. RNAcentral describes it as "partial 16S ribosomal RNA". It matches the Rfam family "Bacterial small subunit ribosomal RNA", at positions 338 to 795 of the family's 1533-position model. The record is from RNAcentral.
CCUACGGGUGGCAGCAGUAGGGAAUCUUUCACAAUGGGCGAAAGCCUGAUGGAGCAACGUCGCGUGCAGGAUGAAGGCCUUCGGGUUGUAAACUGCUUUUAUAAGCGAGAAAUAUGAUGGUAACUUAUGAAUAAGGAUCGGCUAACUACGUGCCAGCAGCCGCGGUCAUACGUAGGAUCCGAGCAUUAUCCGGAGUGACUGGGUGUAAAGAGUUGCGUAGGUGGCAUAAUAAGUAGCUAGUGAAAUCUGGUGGCUCAACCAUUCAGAGUAUUAGCUAAACUGUUAAGCUCGAGACCGUUAGGGGUAACUGGAAUUUCUAGUGUAGGAGUGAAAUCCGUAGAUAUUAGAAGGAACACCAAUAGCGUAGGCAGGUUGCUGGGACGGUUCUGACACUAAGGCACGAAAGCGUAGGGAGCAAACGGGAUUAGAUACCCGAGUAGUC